CAUGCCUAGUCAGCCGGGUGUCUUCGGACGCCUAGCGAAACCGCGGACGGCUCAUUAAAUCAGUUGUGGUCUAAAUGUGCGAUUCAGUUACCAAACUGUUGGAUAACUGUGGUAAUUCCAGAGCUAAUACAUGCGACUCUAAAUCCCUAGCCUAGCGAUAGGCGACGGAUGCUUUUAUUAGACCGAGGUGAACGGCCGUGUGAUCCUUCGGGGUUGCGCGGUUCGCGAUGCUAAAGGUGACUCUGGAUAACACCAUGCUAAGCGCACGCAUCGCUAUUGUAGCGGGCGGCGCUGCCACUUUCGAGUGACUGCCUUAUCAGCUAGUAACGUUUGUUAUGCGCAAACGCUGGCUCUGACGGGUAACGGGGAAUCAGGGCUCGAUUCCGGAGAGGCAGCCUGAGAGACGGCUACCACGUCCAAGGACGGCAGCAGGCACGCAAAUUACCCAAUCCCAGCACCUGGGGGAGGUAGUGACGAAACAUACCGAUGCGGGCGUCUCUUCGGAGCGCCCGCAAUCAGAAUGGCUAUUUCCUAAACACCCUAACGAGAACCUACUAAAGGGCAAGUCUGGUGCCAGCAGCCGCGGUAAUUCCAGCUUUAGUGGCGUACACUAAAUUUGUUGAGGUUAAAAGGCUCGCAGUUGAAUGUCUGUUAAAGAGCGCAGAUGGGUCUAGACGUUGGGUUCCUCUACUGGCCUUGGUUUCUUUUACGAGUUUCCUCGCGCUACGGAGGUUUUCCCGUCUUAUCAGUACCCUCUCGCUCGAUGACAUACGGGCGCUUUCGGGGUACGUAUUAACGUACGUGCCUCGGUUGCGUGCGUGUCACCUUGAGUAAAUCAGAGUGCUUAAUGCAGUCGCAACGAAGGGUUUCCGAGCGAUCGGGAGCCCGAGGCUUGGGAGGGCGACGAGCUUACCCUCGCGGUGGCUUUAGCUUUUCCCUGUGACGGUCUUUGCUUUGCAUGGUACGUCGGAAGACGCCGCUUUACUCGUUGGUCAAUCGCGAAUUAUUUCGUAUCACGCCAGCGAGUGCGGAAUGAUGUGACAGGAACGGUCGAGGGCAUUGGUAUUGCGGGGCGAGAGGUGAAAUUCUAUGACCCCCGCAAGACCUCCUGAAGCGAAGGCGUCUGCCAAGGACGUUUUCAUUAAUCAUGAACGAAAGUUAGAGGAUCGAAGGCGAUCAGAUACCGCCCUAGUUUUAACCGUAAACGAUAUUAACCAUCGAUCCGCGUGAGCACCCUCGUUGCGAGCGUGAUAGCCUAAUAAGCGGCGUUCGUGACAGUGUGGGCUCGGCGGGCAGCUCUCCCGAAGGAAACUUUUAAGUUAGAUUCCUGGGGGAGUCUGGUUGCAAAGCUGAAACUUAAAGGAAUUGACGGAAAGGCACCACCAGGCGUGGAGCUUGCGGCUCAAUUUGACUCAACACGGGCAAACUUACCAGGCCAGCACGGUCGUACGAUUGACAGAUUGAAAGCUCUUUCUCGAUUGAGUGGAUGGUGGUGCAUGGCCGUUCUUAGUUGGUGGAGUGAUCUGUCUGGUUAAUUCCGAUAACGAACGAGACUCCCCCCUGCUAACCGGCGCUUUUAAACGCAGUAGACGGCGUGAUUUCAAGGUAAGUAGCUCUCGUGCGUGGGCUCGUGCAUUAUAUGCGCUUGUUCGUUCGCGGGAUGUCUACGGACGAGUCCGCUGAUCUCCUUGGCUCCGCUUGAGCGCCGCUUUCGAAUUUCUCUUUUCUUGUUCAUCGAUGCUUAAGGCGCGUGUGUGUGUGUGUGCUUUAGGGUAUAUACGCCGCGCGUGUGUCUGGGUAUUGACUUGCGCCGGAUUAGGGUGUUUGUUUGCGUUAGUGCGACUAGCGUCCUCGGAGAGCGUAUCUUCUUAGAGGUAUUGACAACUCUUCAAAGUUGUAAGAGACAGGGAGCAAUAACAGGUCUGUGAUGCCCUUAGAUGUUCUGGGCCGCACGCGAGCUACAAUGCCGGGUACAGCGGGUUCUUUUUCCUAUACCGAGAGGUACGGGUAACCCUAUGAAAUCCUAGUUAGAGCUUUCCGUAAGGAAAGUUCGCGUGGCUCGCUUGGGCCUGGGGCUUGCAAUUCUUUCCCACAAACGAGGAAUGCCUAGUAGUGGCGGAUCACUGAGCCCGCAGCGACUUAGUCCCUGCCCUUUGUACACACCGCCCGUCGCUACUACCGAUUGAGUGUACCAGUGAGAUCCUCGGACUGGCGAACCCAAUCACCUCGGUGCUAGGGCGAACGCUGGAAAGAGGCCCGAACUGGUGCACUAGAGGAA
This 2278-nucleotide ribosomal RNA is filed under the name Lanceola pacifica. Its description in RNAcentral is "partial 18S ribosomal RNA". It matches the Rfam family "Eukaryotic small subunit ribosomal RNA". The record is from RNAcentral. Lineage: Eukaryota; Metazoa; Arthropoda; Malacostraca; Amphipoda; Lanceolidae.